This 96-nucleotide microRNA precursor is filed under the name Phlebotomus papatasi. RNAcentral's name for it is "microRNA mir-186". Lineage: Eukaryota; Metazoa; Arthropoda; Insecta; Diptera; Psychodidae. The record is from RNAcentral.
UUGAGAGCAAUUUUCGCCAAAAAUUGCUUUUUUGAAGGAAAUUGUCUGCACUGUUAAAAAUCUGUCAAAACUGCAAUUUUUGACGAAAAUUGCUCC